Molecule: ribosomal RNA, 395 nt
Filed under: uncultured bacterium
Lineage: Bacteria
Description: bacterial SSU rRNA
Rfam family: Bacterial small subunit ribosomal RNA
Source: RNAcentral
GUGUCAGCAGCCGCGGUAAAACGUAGGAGCCAAGCGUUAUCCGAAUUCACUGGGCGUAAAGCGUGUGCAGGCGGCAUGUUAAGUUGGAUGUGAAAUCUCCUGGCUCAACUGGGAGAGGCCGUUCAAUACUGGCAGGCUAGAGGGCAACAGAGGAAGGUAGAAUUCCCGGUGUAGUGGUGAAAUGCGUAGAUAUCGGGAGGAAUACCAGUGGCGAAGGCGACCUUCUGGGUUGCACCUGACGCUCAGACACGAAAGCUAGGGGAGCGAACGGGAUUAGAAACCCCGGUAGUCCUAGCCGUAAACGAUGUAGACUUGGUGUCGGCGGGGUAAAAGCCGUCGGUGCCGAAGCCAACGCGAUAAGUCUACCGCCUGGGGACUACGGCCGCAAGGUUAAA